This 411-nucleotide ribosomal RNA is filed under the name Ruegeria sp. C17. RNAcentral's name for it is "bacterial SSU rRNA". It matches the Rfam family "Bacterial small subunit ribosomal RNA", at positions 350 to 778 of the family's 1533-position model. The record is from RNAcentral. Lineage: Bacteria; Pseudomonadati; Pseudomonadota; Alphaproteobacteria; Rhodobacterales; Roseobacteraceae.
AGCAGUGGGGAAUCUUGGACAAUGGGGGCAACCCUGAUCCAGCCAUGCCGCGUGAGUGAUGAAGGCCCUAGGGUCGUAAAGCUCUUUCGCCUGUGAAGAUAAUGACGGUAGCAGGUAAAGAAACCCCGGCUAACUCCGUGCCAGCAGCCGCGGUAAUACGGAGGGGGUUAGCGUUGUUCGGAAUUACUGGGCGUAAAGCGCACGUAGGCGGAUCGGAAAGUUGGGGGUGAAAUCCCGGGGCUCAACCCCGGAACUGCCUCCAAAACUAUCGGUCUAGAGUUCGAGAGAGGUGAGUGGAAUUCCGAGUGUAGAGGUGAAAUUCGUAGAUAUUCGGAGGAACACCAGUGGCGAAGGCGGCUCACUGGCUCGAUACUGACGCUGAGGUGCGAAAGUGUGGGGAGCAAACAGGAU